RNAcentral lists this ribosomal RNA (800 nucleotides) under uncultured Burkholderia sp. Its description in RNAcentral is "bacterial SSU rRNA". It matches the Rfam family "Bacterial small subunit ribosomal RNA", at positions 54 to 858 of the family's 1533-position model. Lineage: Bacteria; Pseudomonadati; Pseudomonadota; Betaproteobacteria; Burkholderiales; Burkholderiaceae. The record is from RNAcentral.
CAUGCAGUCGAACGGCACACGAGUGCUUGCACCUGGUGGCGAGUGGCGAACGGGUGAGUAAUACAUCGGAACAUGUCCUGUAGUGGGGGAUAGCCCGGCGAAAGCCGGAUUAAUACCGCAUACGAUCUACGGAUGAAAGCGGGGGACCUUCGGGCCUCGCGCUAUAGGGUUGGCCGAUGGCUGAUUAGCUAGUUGGUGGGGUAAAGGCCUACCAAGGCGACGAUCAGUAGCUGGUCUGAGAGGACGACCAGCCACACUGAGACUGAGACACGGCCCAGACUCCUACGGGAGGCAGCAGUGGGGAAUUUUGGACAAUGGGCGAAAGCCUGAUCCAGCAAUGCCGCGUGUGUGAAGAAGGCCUUCGUGUUGUAAAGCACUUUUGUCCGGAAAGAAAUCCUUGGCUCUAAUACAGUCGGGGGAUGACGGUACCGGAAGAAUAAGCACCGGCUAACUACGUGCCAGCCGCCGCGGUAAUACGUACGGUGCGAGCGUAAUCGGAAUUACUGGGCGUAAAGCGUGCGCAAGCGGUUUGCUAACACCGAUGUGAAAUCCCCGGGCUCAACCUGAGAACUGCAUUGGUGACUGGCAGGCUAGAGUAUGGCAGAGGGGGGUAGAAUUCCACGUGUAGCAGUGAAAUGCGUAGAGAUGUGGAGGAAUACCGAUCGCCAAGGAGCCCCCUGGGCCAAUACUGACGCUCAUGCACGAAAGCUGGGGAGCAAACAGUAUUAGUACCCUGGCAGUCCACACCCUAAAGAUGUCCACUAGUGUUGGGGAUCCUUUCCUUAUAACGUAGCUAACGC